UUAGAUACAGGUGCUGCAUGGCUGUCGUCAGCUCGUGUCGUGAGAUGUUGGGUUAAGUCCCGCAACGAGCGCAACCCUUUUCCUUAUUUGCCAGCGGGUCAUGCCGGGAACUUUAAGGAUACUGCCAGUGACAAACUGGAGGAAGGCGGGGACGACGUCAAGUCAUCAUGGCCCUUACGGCCAGGGCUACACACGUGCUACAAUGGUCGGUACAAAGGGUUGCUACCUCGCGAGAGGAUGCUAAUCUCAAAAAGCCGAUCGUAGUCCGGAUCGCAGUCUGCAACUCGACUGCGUGAAGUCGGAAUCGCUAGUAAUCGCGGAUCAGAAUGCCGCGGUGAAUACGUUCCCGGGCCUUGUACACACCGCCCGUCACACCAUGGGAGUUUGUUGCACCAGAAGUAGGUAGUCUAACCGCAAGGAGGACGCUUACCACGGUGUGGCCGAUGACUGGGGUGAAGUCGUAACAAGGUAAGCGUAGAUGA
This 482-nucleotide ribosomal RNA is filed under the name uncultured bacterium. Its description in RNAcentral is "bacterial SSU rRNA". It matches the Rfam family "Bacterial small subunit ribosomal RNA", at positions 1028 to 1509 of the family's 1533-position model. The record is from RNAcentral.